This 83-nucleotide transfer RNA is filed under the name Calothrix parasitica NIES-267. RNAcentral describes it as "tRNA-Tyr". It matches the Rfam family "tRNA". Rfam says of the family: Transfer RNA (tRNA) molecules are approximately 80 nucleotides in length. Their secondary structure includes four short double-helical elements and three loops (D, anti-codon, and T loops). Lineage: Bacteria; Bacillati; Cyanobacteriota; Cyanophyceae; Nostocales; Calotrichaceae. The record is from RNAcentral.
GGGUCGGUGUCCGAGUGGUUAAUGGAGGCGGACUGUAAAUCCGCUGGCUUAGCCUACGCUGGUUCGAAUCCAGCUCGGCCCAC